AUGGAUGUGAAGGGCUUGAUGACACUGGAGCCCCUCUCAAACCUCUCCUCUCUUGUCACAUUAAAACUGUUGAAUUGUGGAGAGGGUCUGACAUGUCGGGGCUUGCAGCCUCUCCUUAGCACCGGGGGCCAGCUCAAAGAAUUAAGACUCUCUUUCAGCCCUAAAUUCUUUUCUGGUUGGGAGGACGUUGAAGGAGGAGGAGAGCAGCAGACACAUUUUGUUUCAUCCACACUGCAUGAGCUCAUGACGGAUGACGCAGCAGGAUUUCUUUCUGCACCCAUCUGCAGCUUCCUCUCGUCCUCCCUUACCAAGCUGAAACUUUGUGGGGACUGGUCUGAAGGGAUAGAGCGCUUCAGCAAGGAGCAAGAGGACGCCCUUCAGCUCCUCUCCUCCCUCCAGGAACUAGAGUUUUGGCAAUUUCACAAUCUUCAGCAACUCCCAGCAGGAUUGCACAACCUUACCAGCCUCAAGGAAUUAGCGAUCCACUCUGCAACCCUCUCGUCAUUGCCCAACGAUGUCCUCCCUGAAUCACUUCAAAAGCUAGUUAUUAUAUACGGGUGCAACGAGGAGCUAAAACGGCACUGCAGGGGGUUAGAGGGAACCAUCCCAGAACUCAUAAUACACUGA
This 627-nucleotide ribosomal RNA is filed under the name Triticum aestivum (bread wheat). Its description in RNAcentral is "partial small subunit ribosomal RNA". Lineage: Eukaryota; Viridiplantae; Streptophyta; Magnoliopsida; Poales; Poaceae. The record is from RNAcentral.